AUUGAACGCUGGCGGCAGGCCUAACACAUGCAAGUCGAGCGACCGGCGGACGGGUGAGUAAUGUCUGGGAAACUGCCUGAUGGAGGGGGAUAACUACUGGAAACGGUAGUUAAUACUGCAUACCAACGGAUGUGCCCAGAUGGGAUUAGCUAGUAGGUGGGGUAACGGCCCACCAGGGCGACGAUCCCUAGCUGGGCUGAGAGGAUGACCAGCCACACUGGAACUGAGACACGGUCCAGACUCCUACGGGAGGCAGCAGUGGGGAAUAUUGCACAAUGGGCGAAAGCCGGAUGCAGCCAUGCCGCGUGUAUGAAGAAGGCCUUCGGGUUGUAAAGUACUUUCAGCGGGGAGGCGUUACCCGCAGAAGAAGCACCGGCUAACUCCGUGCCAGCCGCCGCGGUAAUAC
Molecule: ribosomal RNA, 406 nt
Filed under: uncultured bacterium
Lineage: Bacteria
Description: partial 16S ribosomal RNA
Rfam family: Bacterial small subunit ribosomal RNA
Source: RNAcentral